UUGGUGGUAGUAGCAAAUAUUCAAGUGAGAGCCUUGAAGACUGAAGUGGAGAAAGGUUCCAUGGUAACAGCAGUUGGACAUGGGUCAGUCGAUCCUAAGAGAUAGGGAAGCUCCGUUUCAAAGUGCGCGCUUGUUCGCGCCGCCUAUCGAAAGGGAAUCCGGUUAAAAUUCCGGAACCAGGAUGUGGAUCUUAAGCGGCAACGCAAAUGAACUUGGAGACGCAGGCGAGGGCCCCGGGAAGAGUUAUCUUUUCUCCUUAACAACUUAACCCCCUGAAAUCGGUUUGUCCGGAGCUAGGGGUCGAUGGUUGGUAGAGCAGUCCACCUUUGGACUGUCCGGUGCGUUCUCGACUGCCCUUGAAAAUCCAAGGGAAUGUUACUUUCACACCUGGUCGUACUCAUAACCGCAGCAGGUCUCCUAGGUGAACAGCCUCUAGUUGAUAGAACAAUG
Molecule: ribosomal RNA, 450 nt
Filed under: Helicotheca tamesis
Lineage: Eukaryota; Bacillariophyta; Thalassiosirophyceae; Lithodesmiales; Lithodesmiaceae
Description: partial Eukaryotic large subunit ribosomal RNA
Rfam family: Eukaryotic large subunit ribosomal RNA
Source: RNAcentral